Non-coding RNA from Phrynosoma platyrhinos (Desert horned lizard), 71 nucleotides. Lineage: Eukaryota; Metazoa; Chordata; Lepidosauria; Squamata; Phrynosomatidae. The record is from the annotation of a GenBank genome assembly.
GCCACUGUGGCACAAUGGUUUGAGUGCUGGACUACAACUCUGGAGAUCAGGGUUCGAUUCUUGCUCAGCCA